UACGUAGGGCGCAAGCGUUAUCCGGAAUUAUUGGGCGUAAAGAGCUCGUAGGCGGCUUGUCGCGUCGACUGUGAAAUCCCGCGGCUCAACUGCGGGUCUGCAGUCGAUACGGGCAGGCUAGAGUUCGGUAGGGGAGACUGGAAUUCCUGGUGUAGCGGUGAAAUGCGCAGAUAUCAGGAGGAACACCGGUAGUCGGAAGGCGGGUCUCUGGGCCUACUGACGCUGAGGAGCGAAAGCGUGGGGGAGCGAACAG
RNAcentral lists this ribosomal RNA (253 nucleotides) under uncultured bacterium. Its description in RNAcentral is "partial 16S ribosomal RNA". It matches the Rfam family "Bacterial small subunit ribosomal RNA", at positions 524 to 775 of the family's 1533-position model. The record is from RNAcentral.